RNAcentral lists this long non-coding RNA (234 nucleotides) under Glycine max (soybean). RNAcentral describes it as "long non-coding RNA (GMAX_LNC001986)". Lineage: Eukaryota; Viridiplantae; Streptophyta; Magnoliopsida; Fabales; Fabaceae. The record is from RNAcentral.
GGUGCAUAGAAUGAAUUGAAAGAUUUGAUUUCAGGAACUUACCGGUUGAAGACGGAAGAAGGACGAAGAACGAACGAAGAAUGGUGAAGAACGAUGAAGAAUUUUCACAAAAUCGCUUACGAAAACGUCUCGAAAGCGUUAAGGAAGCACCUCGGCUUGAAUUUUCUUCACAAAAACACAUUUUUUCACCCAAAACAGCCGAAAUGCAUAGCCAAGGGGUCCAUAAUAUUUUUG